GGUAAACUAGAUGAGGUCUAAUUCAAAUUUAAAUGUCAAAUCUAGCCCUUUCAAAACCACUAUAUUCUAUUAACACUGGAUCUAGUUAACAUAUAAUCAAGUGUCAACAAGUUUCUAACCUAUACAACCCUAAACAACAAAUUAUACAACACUAUACAAUCAUUAACAACUAAUUAAUCAGUAAAAACUUCAAUCAAGCGACUGAUUUCGCACAAUCGGUGAACAGAAACCCUACAUACACAAACUAUGCAUCCAAAUACACAAACGAAUAACCGAUUCAAACAGAGGAACAAAAUAUCAUAACGAAAAACGAUAAUGUUGAAAUUAGGGCACAGAAUAUUCACCCGUAGGUUCCUUCACCAAUUUGUUCGAGUUUUUCGAAACAGUCGACGCUUCGAGAUCCCCACGACGGUGAUUCCUCGAGAUUAAGCUGACCGUAGGCCGCGCCGGCCAUGUUUUCCGGCAACCGGUUGACGGAAUUUGCAGAAGCGGGAGGUGGGGAAUAUAUGAGGGAUAGUAUUGGACUUGGGUCACCAUUAUAUUAUUAUUUUUUAUUUUUAAUUUAA
This 566-nucleotide long non-coding RNA is filed under the name Helianthus annuus (common sunflower). RNAcentral's name for it is "sRNA HanXRQr2_Chr11g0468791". The record is from RNAcentral. Lineage: Eukaryota; Viridiplantae; Streptophyta; Magnoliopsida; Asterales; Asteraceae.